GCUAACACAUGCAAGUCGAGCGAGAAGGCUUUCGGGCUUAGUACAGCGGCAAACGGGUGAGUAACGCGUGGGAAUUUACCUUUUAGUGAAGAAUAACCCUGAGAAAUUGGUGUUAAUACUGCAUAAGUCCCUUCGGGGAGAAAGAUGGCCUCUUUGCUGUCGCUGAAAGAUAAGCCUGCGUACUAUUAGCUAGUUGGUAGGGUAAAAGCCUACCAAGGCGAUGAUGGUUAGCCGGCCUGAGAGGGUGUUCGGCCACACUGGAACUUAGACACGGUCCAGACUCCUACGGGAGGCAGCAGUGAGGAAUCUUGCGCAAUGGGCGAAAGCCUGACGCAGCGCACGCCGCGUGGAGGAUGAAGGUCUUCGGAUCGUAAACUUCUGUUAAGUGGGAAGAAAGAACUGGUCUUAAUACGAUCAGGUGAUGACUGUACCAUUA
RNAcentral lists this ribosomal RNA (436 nucleotides) under uncultured delta proteobacterium. RNAcentral describes it as "bacterial SSU rRNA". It matches the Rfam family "Bacterial small subunit ribosomal RNA", at positions 46 to 483 of the family's 1533-position model. Lineage: Bacteria; Deltaproteobacteria. The record is from RNAcentral.